RNAcentral lists this microRNA precursor (52 nucleotides) under Marmota monax (woodchuck). Lineage: Eukaryota; Metazoa; Chordata; Mammalia; Rodentia; Sciuridae. The record is from RNAcentral.
UCUUUAGGAUAAGUAUUUUCCAUGCACUAUUUGAUACAUAUUUAUCCUAAAU